UAUUGCGCCGAUAAGGAUGUUUGAAUUUUCAAGAAGAGAGUUUUAUUCUGGCUUGGGAAUUGUUAGUAAAUUUAUUGACAUGUAAAGUAAUGAUCUAGAUGAUUAGUUUGCAGUUAAAGGUUUUUCAUAAAUAAGUAAAUUUAGUUGGAGUGAAUUUUUUAGUAUUAAUUAAAUAUGUGCCAGCAAUUGCGGUUAAACAUAGGAUACAAAUAAUUUUUGUUAAAUUGGAGUUAAUUGAUUAUAAAAUUUUUUGUAUAAUUAGGUAUGAAUAUUUGUUAGUGAAAUAAAAUUAUGAAUAUUUAAAUUUUGAAUUUAAUGAUUUGAUUCUUUGAAAGGUAUAUGAGAAACUAGGAUUAGAUACCCUAUUAUUAUACAUGUAAAUAUGAAUUGUUUAAAUAUUAAAAGUUAUGUUCUUGAAACUUAAAGAAAUUGACGGUAUUUUAGUCUUUUCAGAGGAAUCUGUGCUGUAAUUGAUAGUACACGAAUAAAUGUACUUUAUUUAUUUGGUUUGUAUAUCGUUGUCGUAAAUUUAUUUUGAAAAAAUUUAUUUUUGGUAAAGAAAAUUAUUUUGGAUGUCAAAUCAAGAUGCAGCUUAUAAUAAAGAAGUUAUGGAUUACAAUUUGAAGGUAAACGGAAAGUUAUAAUUUAAAAAAUUUUUGAAGGUGGAUUUGAUUGUAAAUUUAUAUUAUUUGUAUGUUGAUUUAAGCUCUAAAAUAUGUACAUAUCGCCCGUCGCUCCUGUUAUAAAAUUGGAUAAGUCGUAACAAAGUAGAUGUACUGGAAAGUGUAUCUAGGAAG
RNAcentral lists this non-coding RNA (797 nucleotides) under Svistella anhuiensis. Lineage: Eukaryota; Metazoa; Arthropoda; Insecta; Orthoptera; Trigonidiidae. The record is from RNAcentral.